GGUCGGGUAGCUUAGUGGUAGAGCAAUCGCCCGGUAAGCGAGAGACCCGAGUUCGAUUCUCGGUCCGCCG
RNAcentral lists this transfer RNA (70 nucleotides) under Diuraphis noxia (Russian wheat aphid). Its description in RNAcentral is "tRNA-Thr". It matches the Rfam family "tRNA". Rfam says of the family: Transfer RNA (tRNA) molecules are approximately 80 nucleotides in length. Their secondary structure includes four short double-helical elements and three loops (D, anti-codon, and T loops). Lineage: Eukaryota; Metazoa; Arthropoda; Insecta; Hemiptera; Aphididae. The record is from RNAcentral.